RNAcentral lists this ribosomal RNA (253 nucleotides) under uncultured bacterium. RNAcentral describes it as "partial 16S ribosomal RNA". It matches the Rfam family "Bacterial small subunit ribosomal RNA", at positions 524 to 776 of the family's 1533-position model. The record is from RNAcentral.
UACGUAGGGUGCGAGCGUCGUCCGGAAUUAUUGGGCGUAAAGGGCUCGUAGGCGGUUUGUCGCGUCGGGAGUGAAAACCUCGGGCUUAACUCGGGGCUUGCUUUCGAUACGGGCAGACUAGAGGUAUGCAGGGGAGAACGGAAUUCCUGGUGUAGCGGUGAAAUGCGCAGAUAUCAGGAGGAACACCGGUGGCGAAGGCGGCAUCCUGGACCAACACUGACGCUGAGGAGCGAAAGCCAGGGGAGCAAACGGG